This 272-nucleotide unclassified non-coding RNA is filed under the name Hevea brasiliensis (rubber tree). Lineage: Eukaryota; Viridiplantae; Streptophyta; Magnoliopsida; Malpighiales; Euphorbiaceae. The record is from RNAcentral.
CAUACUUAUUCAAGCAAAUACAGCAAACCUAUACCAGAUUGGGGAAGAGAAAUGAGCAUAUUAGUUUUGAAGUAAUUGCCCACAAGUAAGUAUUAGGCUUAUUUCUCUCACCUAGAACAAAUAUGACAGCCUAUCUGACCAUAAAAUGAAAUGGGAUACUGCAACCUUUAUCAAUUUUUCUUUCCUUUAUUUUUUUUUCAUUUCAAAGAAAAGAGAAGAUUUACUACCUUGAAUUUUUACAAUGAACUAGAUCUUGUGCUAAAAUGUGUCUU